Molecule: ribosomal RNA, 497 nt
Filed under: uncultured bacterium
Lineage: Bacteria
Description: partial 16S ribosomal RNA
Rfam family: Bacterial small subunit ribosomal RNA
Source: RNAcentral
GACGAACGCUGGCGGCGUGCCUAAUACAUGCAAGUUGAGCGCUGAAGGUUGGUACUUGUACCAACUGGAUGAGCAGCGAACGGGUGAGUAACGCGUGGGGAAUCUGCCUUUGAGCGGGGGACAACAUUUGGAAACGAAUGCUAAUACCGCAUAAAAACUUUAAACACAAGUUUUAAGUUUGAAAGAUGCAAUUGCAUCACUCAAAGAUGAUCCCGCGUUGUAUUAGCUAGUUGGUGAGGUAAAGGCUCACCAAGGCGAUGAUACAUAGCCGACCUGAGAGGGUGAUCGGCCACAUUGGGACUUAGACACAGCCCAAACUCCUACGGGAGGCAGCAGUAGGGAAUCUUCGGCAAUGGACGAAAGUCUGACCGAGCAACGCCGCGUGAGUGAAGAAGGUUUUCGGAUCGUAAAACUCUGUUGGUAGAGAAGAACGUUGGUGAGAGUGGAAAGCUCAUCAAGUGACGGUAACUACCCAGAAAGGGACGGCUAACUACGUG